UACGGGGGGAGCAAGCGUUGUUCGGAUUUACUGGGCGUAAAGGGCGCGUAGGCGGUCGUGACAAGUCACUUGUGAAAUCUCCGGGCUUAACUCGGAACGGUCAAGUGAUACUGUCGGGCUAGAGUGCAGAAGGGGCAACUGGAAUUCUCGGUGUAGCGGUGAAAUGCGUAGAUAUCGAGAGGAACACCUGCGGCGAAGGCGGGUUGCUGGGCUGACACUGACGCUGAGGCGCGAAAGCGUAGGGGAGCGAACGGG
This 255-nucleotide ribosomal RNA is filed under the name uncultured bacterium. Its description in RNAcentral is "partial 16S ribosomal RNA". It matches the Rfam family "Bacterial small subunit ribosomal RNA", at positions 524 to 776 of the family's 1533-position model. The record is from RNAcentral.